Molecule: long non-coding RNA, 2142 nt
Filed under: Nicotiana benthamiana
Lineage: Eukaryota; Viridiplantae; Streptophyta; Magnoliopsida; Solanales; Solanaceae
Description: long non-coding RNA (NBEN_LNC012260)
Source: RNAcentral
UUUGAAUCCUCUUCUCCUCUCUUUUCUCUCUGAAACCCUCAAACCCUAGAGCUUCAAUAUUCAAAAAUUCCCCCAAACCCCUUCAAUUCUUGACCAGAUAUGGGGUCAUCUGGUGAUUUAUUGCCUUAUCAAGCCUCUCACCUCUUCUGGUUGUUUGAUUAUGUUGAUUUACGCAAGAAUCUUGAAGAUAUUCAACUUAAUUUUGUUCAAAACCUUUUCAUAAGCUACCUAUGGUCAUCUCCGUCUAUGAGUACUAUUAUCUUCGUGUUUAUGGUUCGAAUCUAUGGUUCAAAACCAGACUUUCUUUCAUCGCUGUCAUUCUUUUAAAACCCUAGUCUCUUGCUACUCGAAUCUGUUCAAAUCUCUGUAGAUCUGAGAUAAUUUUAAGUUUAUUUAUUAUUUAUUUUUAAAAACUUUUUGUGUUUUAUUAUUAUUAACCGAUUUUGUCUUCUCUGAAGCUGGGUUGUCAUCCUUUUAAGUUCCUGAAAAAAUACUAAUUUUUUUUUAGUGUUUAACCCUAAUUUUCUUUGCUUGUUCGACUGAUUCUCAUGACUAUGUUCUAAACCCUGGGGUUUCUGCGUACUUUACUGAUUAUUUUGAUAUUUGCCCGUUAUUUUUCAUCUCUGUCAAUUGAAAGAGACUGACUGAUUUUAUAAGGGUCCAAAUUAUAUUUUUCUGUUGAAAUUAGUACUUCUCUGUGAUUUCUACCUAUUUUUCUUAUUUGUAACGCCUAAUAGAUUACUUGCCUUAAUUAGUUUAUUAGCCUCAUUUCUAUCUUUUGAUUUACUCUAACCGGCUUAUGAUUUAUUUCCUGCCUUAGUUGAAUCUCAAUCUGAGUUGUUAAUAGAUUCUCCCCAAUAUAAGAGGUGUUUUCCGGAUUCUAUGGGAUUAUUUUGAUCAAGCGUAUCCCCAAAUUAACUAGUUGAUUGUGUUUGCUUGCCUUCUUUGUGAACUCUAAUUUUCUUGCCUUAAUUGUCUUCUCUGCUGAAUGCUAUAUAAAUUCCAUUCUGAUUUCUUUCAAACACAUGAACACACAUAAGUUCUUGAUCUUAUUCACACAUAUCUCCAUCACAGUCUUCAUGUUCUUUAUUUUCCGCACUGUCUAGCCGGCUGAAAGCAAAGGCUAGACCCUUGGAUCCUGUUUGUUUCACUUCCCAUUGCCAUUUCUUAACUAGUAUGUCUCCACUUCUGCCAUCACUCAAUAUGCUAUGUAAUUAGUCCCAUGUAGUUUAUGUUUAUUACUCUUAAUUAGCAUGUCUACUUCUAUGUAACUAGACCCAUGUGCUUCUGUUUAUUACUCUUAAUCAGCAUGUCCACUUCAAUGUAAUUAGGCCUAUGUACUCCUUGUCCAUGGAUCUUAACCACCAUGACUACUUCCAUGAAAUUAGACCUAUGUGCUUAUUGUUUUCUGCAAGUCUGCCUCAAUGUAAUUAGACCUAUGUCUAUUUGUUUCUCACUAACAUGAUUUCUAUCUUGUUUUAAAUGUUCACCCCUAACAGGCUCCUGAAUAACUCAUGAUUUUCAAUGCUUCCAACUUUUGCUACCUUUCUGUAUGAUUGUCUUAUCAGUAACUUGACCCCAGCAUGCUAUUCUCUCAUUAAUAUAUGCCUAUAUGUUCACCUAGUAAUAGCUACUGGAUUAAGGUCAUAUGAAACCUUGUUCAAAUUAAUUGUCACUUUGUUCUUUGAUUGCUGGAGUUCAUGGCUAAACUCCUUCUGCUAAAUGUGUGCUGCUUGUGGUUCUUGUAAUAUGGUAAUUGUUUCUAUGUACUUCUGAAAUCCAAACAUUUUUCUUUCCUAAAACUACUUCCUACUUUUAUACUAUUUUCAACUCCUACUCUUAGUUAACUAGGAUCCUGCCACCCCAAUGUGAGCACUGCUUAGGGUCCAUGAGACUCCUCUGAACUCUGACACAUUAGGGCAUUGCCUGGGGGUCCCUAAGGUCCUUGAGAACUUUGACACACCCGGAAGCAGCUUUAUGUGUUAUGCAUGGACUACCACUAUGCUCAAAGAUGCUAUUUUUGGAGGCUUAGAUACAAGUUGUUGUUAAGCCUACGAAGACUCUCUAUAGUGUAGUGAAUUUCAUUAUGUUAUUCAUUUAUAUUGUUAUAUGUAAUGAUUAUUGUAAAAAUAGAUAUCGAGG